UACGAAGGGGGCUAGCGUUGUUCGGAAUUACUGGGCGUAAAGGGCGCGUAGGCUGUGCUAUAAGUCCGGUGUGAAAGUCACAGGCUCAACCUGUGAAUGCCGCUGGAAACUGUCUGGCUAGAGUCCGGAAGGGGCGAGUGGAAUUCCUGGUGUAGCGGUGAAAUGCGCAGAUAUCAGGAGGAACACCAAUGGCGAAGGCAGCUCGCUGGGACGGUACUGACGCUGAGGCGCGAAAGCGUGGGGAGCGAACAGG
This 253-nucleotide ribosomal RNA is filed under the name uncultured bacterium. Its description in RNAcentral is "partial 16S ribosomal RNA". It matches the Rfam family "Bacterial small subunit ribosomal RNA", at positions 524 to 776 of the family's 1533-position model. The record is from RNAcentral.